AGCUUGCUCCACCGGAAAAAGAGGAGUGGCGAACGGGUGAGUAACACGUGGGUAACCUGCCCAUCAGAAGGGGAUAACACUUGGAAACAGGUGCUAAUACCGUAUAACAAUCGAAACCGCAUGGUUUUGAUUUGAAAGGCGCUUUCGGGUGUCGCUGAUGGAUGGACCCGCGGUGCAUUAGCUAGUUGGUGAGGUAACGGCUCACCAAGGCGACGAUGCAUAGCCGACCUGAGAGGGUGAUCGGCCACAUUGGGACUGAGACACGGCCCAAACUCCUACGGGAGGCAGCAGUAGGGAAUCUUCGGCAAUGGACGAAAGUCUGACCGAGCAACGCCGCGUGAGUGAAGAAGGUUUUCGGAUCGUAAAACUCUGUUGUUAGAGAAGAACAAGGAUGAGAGUAACUGUUCAUCCCUUGACGGUAUCUAACCAGAAAGCCACGGCUAACUACGUGCCAGCAGCCGCGGUAAUACGUAGGUGGCAAGCGUUGUCCGGAUUUAUUGGGCGUAAAGCGAGCGCAGGCGGUUUCUUAAGUCUGAUGUGAAAGCCCCCGGCUCAACCGGGGAGGGUCAUUGGAAACUGGGAGACUUGAGUGCAGAAGAGGAGAGUGGAAUUCCAUGUGUAGCGGUGAAAUGCGUAGAUAUAUGGAGGAACACCAGUGGCGAAGGCGGCUCUCUGGUCUGUAACUGACGCUGAGGCUCGAAAGCGUGGGGAGCAAACAGGAUUAGAUACCCUGGUAGUCCACGCCGUAAACGAUGAGUGCUAAGUGUUGGAGGGUUUCCGCC
RNAcentral lists this ribosomal RNA (782 nucleotides) under Enterococcus faecalis. RNAcentral describes it as "bacterial SSU rRNA". It matches the Rfam family "Bacterial small subunit ribosomal RNA", at positions 77 to 838 of the family's 1533-position model. Lineage: Bacteria; Bacillati; Bacillota; Bacilli; Lactobacillales; Enterococcaceae. The record is from RNAcentral.